AAUUGCAGAAUCCCGUGAACCAUCGAGUCUUUGAACGCAAGUUGCGCCCGAAGCCAUUAGGCCCAGGGCACGUCUGCCUGGGUGUCACGC
Molecule: ribosomal RNA, 90 nt
Filed under: Daucus carota subsp. halophilus
Lineage: Eukaryota; Viridiplantae; Streptophyta; Magnoliopsida; Apiales; Apiaceae
Description: partial 5.8S ribosomal RNA
Rfam family: 5.8S ribosomal RNA
About the family: 5.8S ribosomal RNA (5.8S rRNA) is a component of the large subunit of the eukaryotic ribosome. It is transcribed by RNA polymerase I as part of the 45S precursor that also contains 18S and 28S rRNA. Functionally, it is thought that 5.8S rRNA may be involved in ribosome translocation.
Source: RNAcentral